GAGAAAAUUCUCUCAAUGUAGGUUAAAGAAAUUUUGCUGAAAUCAAUAGCUCAAGCAAUACCUUCAUAUGUGAUGUCAGUAUCUAAACUGCCCAAAGGAAUCUGCAAAACAAUCACUGAUGAGAUGGCUGGAUUUUGGUGGGGUGAUAAUGAGGAGAAGAAGAUGCAUUAGUUUGCAUGGUUGAAAUUGUGUGUACCGAAGAAGAAAGGGGGCUUGGGUUUUAGAGACCUUCACGUUUUUAACCUUGCUAUGUUAGCAAAACAGGUUUGGCGACUAAUCCAGAAUCCGGACUCCUUAUGUGCAUGUGUUUUAACUGCAAAAUAUUAUCCAAAUGGUAACAUUUUGAAGGCUGGACCAAAGAAGGGUUCUCAUACACUUGGCAAAGCAUUGUUGUGGGCAUCCAAACUUUUCAACGGGGUUGUAUCUGCCGUGUGGGACUGGGAGCACAAAUUGAUAUUAGGCAAGACCCAUGAAUUCCAUCAAGCCCUUCACGGAAGGUAA
RNAcentral lists this ribosomal RNA (501 nucleotides) under Triticum aestivum (bread wheat). RNAcentral's name for it is "partial small subunit ribosomal RNA". The record is from RNAcentral. Lineage: Eukaryota; Viridiplantae; Streptophyta; Magnoliopsida; Poales; Poaceae.